GCGAGUGAAGUGGGAAAAGCUCAAAUUUUAAAUCUGCCUGGCACAACCAGGUCGAGUUGUAAUUUGAAGAAGCGCUUUCGGUGUUUUGAUCUGGUUAAAGUUCUUUGGAACAAGACAUCAUGGAGGGUGAGAAUCCCGUGCAUGAUCAGAUCGAAAUACUCCAGAUGCGCUCUCUAAGAGUCGAGUUGUUUGGGAAUGCAGCUCAAAUUGGGUGGUAGACUUCACCUAAGGCUAAAUAUCAGCGAGAGACCGAUAGCGAACAAGUACCGUGAGGGAAAGAUGAAAAGAACUUUGAAAAGAGAGUUAAACAGUACGUGAAAUUGUUGAAAGGGAAACGAUUGAAGUCAGUCGUGCCAUUGAGAAAUCAGCCUGGUGGGUUUUUGGGUUCGUGGGUUGAGGUAGGGUCAAACCAUCUCUCUUUCGGACUCGAUGCUUACCCGGUGUACUUUCUUUUUGGCAGGUCAACGUCGAUUUUGGGGGUUGUAAAAUAACUGGGGGAAUGUAGCUCCUUUCGGGGAGUGUUAUAGACCCUGGGGGAUGCAACCCGUGGGAUCGAGGAUUGCAGCAAAUGCUUCAUCGCUUGUCGCCUGCCCGCUGGACGUCGCCCCGCUUGUGACAAUAUUUCUUGACACAUUGUGGGACUUGUCGGUUACCGGUUAGAGCGAUCUAAAAUUUGCUAAGGAUGU
Molecule: ribosomal RNA, 686 nt
Filed under: Redeckera megalocarpum
Lineage: Eukaryota; Fungi; Glomeromycota; Glomeromycetes; Diversisporales; Diversisporaceae
Description: partial large subunit ribosomal RNA
Rfam family: Eukaryotic large subunit ribosomal RNA
Source: RNAcentral